Molecule: long non-coding RNA, 244 nt
Organism: Mirounga angustirostris (Northern elephant seal)
Lineage: Eukaryota; Metazoa; Chordata; Mammalia; Carnivora; Phocidae
Exons: 3
Source: RefSeq, a predicted model, not a curated record
CAGAAAAUGAUCCACGAAGGAAGAUCGUGGACACAGGAAGGAAGGAAGGAAGGACAAAAUCCAUGGUCAAUAGGUGCUCCCAUGCAUAAACCCUUGCACCCCGAACCCCAUGUCAGCAUCUGCUUCCCAGAGGAUCGCCCCACAACAGGCUCUUUGAUUUUACUUAUUUGUCAGAGAGAGAGAGAGAGAGCACAAGCAGGGGGAGCGGCAGAGGCAGAGGGAGAAGCAGGCUUCCCGCCAAGCA